RNAcentral lists this ribosomal RNA (1042 nucleotides) under uncultured Acidisoma sp. RNAcentral's name for it is "bacterial SSU rRNA". It matches the Rfam family "Bacterial small subunit ribosomal RNA", at positions 337 to 1395 of the family's 1533-position model. Lineage: Bacteria; Pseudomonadati; Pseudomonadota; Alphaproteobacteria; Acetobacterales; Acidocellaceae. The record is from RNAcentral.
UCCUACGGGAGGCAGCAGUGGGGAGUAUUGGACAAUGGGCGCAAGCCUGAUCCAGCAAUGCCGCGUGGGUGAAGAAGGUUUUCGGAUUGUAAAGCCCUUUUGGCAGGGACGAUGAUGACGGUACCUGCAGAAUAAGCCCCGGCUAACUUCGUGCCAGCAGCCGCGGUAAUACGAAGGGGGCUAGCGUUGCUCGGAAUGACUGGGCGUAAAGGGCGCGUAGGCGGCGAUCAAAGUCAGGCGUGAAAUUCCUGGGCUCAACCUGGGGGCUGCGCUUGAUACUUGGUUGCUUGAGUGGGGAAGAGGGUCGUGGAAUUCCCAGUGUAGAGGUGAAAUUCGUAGAUAUUGGGAAGAACUCCGGUGGCGAAGGCGGCGACCUGGUCCUUGACUGACGCUGAGGCGCGAAAGCGUGGGGAGCAAACAGGAUUAGAUACCCUGGUAGUCCACGCUGUAAACGAUGUGCGCUGGAUGUUGGGUGACUUAGUCACUCAGUGUCGUAGCUAACGCGAUAAGCGCACCGCCUGGGGAGUACGGCCGCAAGGUUGAAACUCAAAGGAAUUGACGGGGGCCCGCACAAGCGGUGGGGCAUGUGGUUUAAUUCGAAGCAACGCGCAGAACCUUACCAGGGCUUGACAUGGGGAGGCUGUAUUCAGAGAUGGAUAUUUCCCGCAAGGGACCUCCUGCACAGGUGCUGCAUGGCUGUCGUCAGCUCGUGUCGUGAGAUAUUGGGUUAAGUCCCGCAACGAGCGCAACCCUCGUCUUCAGUUGCCAUCAGGUUGGGCUGGGCACUCUGAAGAAACUGCCGGUGACAAGCCGGAGGAAGGUGGGGAUGACGUCAAGUCCUCAUGGCCCUUAUGUCCUGGGCUACACACGUGCUACAAUGGCGGUGACAGUGGGAAGCUAGGCCGCGAGGCCGUGCUGAUCUCAAAAAGCCGUCUCAGUUCGGAUUGCACUCUGCAACUCGAGUGCAUGAAGUUGGAAUCGCUAGUAAUCGUGGAUCAGCAUGCCACGGUGAAUACGUUCCCGGGCCUUGUACACACCGCCC